Molecule: long non-coding RNA, 400 nt
Filed under: Spirodela polyrhiza (greater duckweed)
Lineage: Eukaryota; Viridiplantae; Streptophyta; Magnoliopsida; Alismatales; Araceae
Description: long non-coding RNA (SPOL_LNC001564)
Source: RNAcentral
UAGAGAGAGAGAGAGAGAGAGAGAGGGUGUAGCAGGAAACUAGUCCCUUCAUAUAUAGCAAACAAGGGGUUUGGUCCAUCUUCAGGAGCAGGUGGGGGGGAGAGGAAGAGCUUUCACAGGGAGCGGGAGACAUCUCACGUUGGGGGGGAGCAGGUGGGGAGGAGGUCGGCUGGUCGGAGGGAGAGGUUGGACUCUGAUACCGUUAUUACAAACUCUCGGUAUUACUCUCCAAGCAUGGCAAACUGUAGAAGUGGGAGCGGCGGCGGUAUCAGGUGGAGAUGGCGACGGCAGGAGUGGCGGCGACAUCGACCAUCCUGGCCUUCUUGUUGUUGAGGAUGUCCUCGGGGCUCGUGCCGGCGGCGAGGGGAACGGUGGUCUUCUUCGCCUCGUAGGCCGAGAG